GCUGGAGUGGUGGAACUGGCAGACACGCUAUCUUGAGGGGGUAGUGGGCUUCGGCUCGUGCGGGUUCAAGUCCCGCCUCCAGCA
RNAcentral lists this transfer RNA (84 nucleotides) under Calditrichota bacterium. Its description in RNAcentral is "Calditrichaeota bacterium (activated sludge metagenome) tRNA-Leu". It matches the Rfam family "tRNA". Rfam says of the family: Transfer RNA (tRNA) molecules are approximately 80 nucleotides in length. Their secondary structure includes four short double-helical elements and three loops (D, anti-codon, and T loops). The record is from RNAcentral. Lineage: Bacteria; Pseudomonadati; Calditrichota. RNAcentral also lists the same sequence under 1 other name.